RNAcentral lists this ribosomal RNA (253 nucleotides) under uncultured bacterium. RNAcentral's name for it is "partial 16S ribosomal RNA". It matches the Rfam family "Bacterial small subunit ribosomal RNA", at positions 524 to 776 of the family's 1533-position model. The record is from RNAcentral.
UACGUAGGGUGCGAGCGUUGUCCGGAAUUAUUGGGCGUAAAGGGCUCGUAGGCGGUCCAUCGCGUCGGGAGUGAAAAGCUGGGGCUUAACCCCAGUCCUGCUUUCGAUACGGGUGGACUAGAGGUAGGCAGGGGAGAAUGGAAUUCCUGGUGUAGCGGUGAAAUGCGCAGAUAUCAGGAGGAACACCGGUGGCGAAGGCGGGUCUCUGGACAGUUCCUGACGCUGAGGCACGAAGGUCAGGGGAGCAAACGGG